Molecule: ribosomal RNA, 253 nt
Filed under: uncultured bacterium
Lineage: Bacteria
Description: partial 16S ribosomal RNA
Rfam family: Bacterial small subunit ribosomal RNA
Source: RNAcentral
UACGUAGGGUGCACGCGUUGUCCGGAAUUAUUGGGCGUAAAGAGCUCGUAGGCGGUUUGUCGCGUCGGCUGUGAAAACCCGGGGCUCAACCCCGGGCCUGCAGUCGAUACGGGCAAACUAGAGUGCGGUAGGGGAGACUGGAAUUCCUGGUGUAGCGGUGAAAUGCGCAGAUAUCAGGAGGAACACCGGUGGCGAAGGCGGGUCUCUGGGCCGUAACUGACGCUGAGGAGCGAAAGCGUGGGGAGCGAACAGG